UUGACUCCGAGGAAACGCGCGCAGCCCAGCAUCCAGGCUCGGUCGCGCCCCGCCUCCCUGCAGACACCGCCCUGCCCCCGCCCGCCUGGAGCCCCAGCUGGCACUCAGCGGGUCCCUUUCCAAUUUGCGGCACAUUCAGGAGUUCGGUAUUCCCACGGGAAGAGCUCGUUGCCAUGGCGAUGCGAGCCUCCCAACCCCGGACCGCCCGGGAGGCCGAGUCCUCCCCCAGCACGGCCCGCCCCCGCCCGCUGGAGAGGGUCGCGGCGUGGGGGAAGGCGCGCCAAUGACGGACCCAGGUGGCUGCCCAGGGGAAAGCUGCAAGCGCAUCACCGACUGGCCUGGAAAGCCUUUCAUCUCUGCUCCAGCAGCAGCAGCUCUUUGAUGAAUUGUGUCUCGUGGCUUUGGGGCCUCCAGCCAUACCGUGCUGUAAAUCCCUGGGUGCCUGCUGGCUCCGAUCUGGGGCUCCCCCUUCCCUCCUCCUGCUGCCUCAAGACUCAGGGACUUGCAGUCGCAAUAAACCUUGAUUUUUCCAAGA
Molecule: long non-coding RNA, 535 nt
Organism: Balaenoptera acutorostrata (minke whale)
Lineage: Eukaryota; Metazoa; Chordata; Mammalia; Artiodactyla; Balaenopteridae
Exons: 2
Source: RefSeq, a predicted model, not a curated record